RNAcentral lists this ribosomal RNA (301 nucleotides) under uncultured bacterium. Its description in RNAcentral is "partial 16S ribosomal RNA". It matches the Rfam family "Bacterial small subunit ribosomal RNA", at positions 509 to 807 of the family's 1533-position model. The record is from RNAcentral.
CAGCAGCCGCGGUAAUACGAAGGGGGCUAGCGUUGUUCGGAAUUACUGGGCGUAAAGCGCACGUAGGCGGAUUGUUAAGUUAGGGGUAAAAUCCCAGGGCUCAACCCUGGAACUGCCUUUAAUACUGGCAAUCUCGAGUCCGAGAGAGGUGAGUGGAAUUCCGAGCGUAGAGGUGAAAUUCGUAGAUAUUCGGAGGAACACCAGUGGCGAAGGCGGCUCACUGGCUCGGUACUGACGCUGAGGUGCGAAAGCGUGGGGAGCAAACAGGAUUAGAUACCCCGGUAGUCCCUGUCUCUUAUAC